RNAcentral lists this ribosomal RNA (522 nucleotides) under Triticum aestivum (bread wheat). RNAcentral's name for it is "partial small subunit ribosomal RNA". The record is from RNAcentral. Lineage: Eukaryota; Viridiplantae; Streptophyta; Magnoliopsida; Poales; Poaceae.
AUGCAUGGAUCAGUCAAAUUUUAUGAUGGCUCUGCUGAUUCCAGGUCCCAAAUCACCUGGCAAGCACUUGUAGAAGAAUUACUUGAGCUCUGGGAGGGUGUGCGUACAUAUGAUGCUCUUAGUGGAAAAAUGUUUGAUCUUCAUGCUGUAGUUCUAUGGUGUAUUCACGAUUACCCAGCUCUGAGCACUCUUUCAGGGCGUACCACAAGAGGCUAUUUUGCAUGUAUUCAUUGUGACAAACACCCUCUUUCUUACAGCCUAAGGAAUAAAAUUGCGUAUAUUGGUCACUAUCAUUUCCUUCCAAGGGGUCAUCGUUUGCGGAGAAACAAUGAAUUUGUUGGUCUUCAUGAAAGCAAUGAUGAGCCAGGUAAAUUCUCUAAGAAAGAGUUGCAAGAAGAAUUGGAGAAGGUUAGACCUGGGAGACAACAAGAAAGUAGGAAAAGGAAGCGUUCUGACUUGGGCAGCAAGAAGGAUCAUGUGCCAAUUUGCGCCCGGAGGGUUUGUUUGUGGGAUUUGAAGUAC